This 429-nucleotide ribosomal RNA is filed under the name uncultured bacterium. Its description in RNAcentral is "bacterial SSU rRNA". It matches the Rfam family "Bacterial small subunit ribosomal RNA", at positions 355 to 775 of the family's 1533-position model. The record is from RNAcentral.
UGGGGAAUAUUGGUCAAUGGGCGCAAGCCUGAACCAGCGACGCCGCGUGAGUGAUGAAGGCCUUCGGGUUGUAAAGCUCUGUGGAGAGGGACAAAAACAGUUCGGUCGAAUAGGCCGAGCUCUUGACGGUACCUCUUUAGCAAGCACCGGCUAACUCUGUGCCAGCAGCCGCGGUAAGACAGAGGGUGCAAACGUUGCUCGGAAUUACUGGGCGUAAAGCGCGUGUAGGCUGACCGGGAAGUCAGGUGUGAAAUCCCUGGGCUCAACCCAGGAACUGCAUUUGAAACUUCCGGUCUUGAGGGAUGGAGAGGGAAGCGGAAUUCCUGGUGUAGAGGUGAAAUUCGUAGAUAUCAGGAGGAACACCGGUGGCGAAGGCGGCUUCCUGGACAUCUUCUGACGCUGAGACGCGAAAGCGUGGGGAGCAAACAG